This 1399-nucleotide ribosomal RNA is filed under the name Ansonia longidigita (long-fingered stream toad). Its description in RNAcentral is "partial 16S ribosomal RNA". It matches the Rfam family "Bacterial large subunit ribosomal RNA", at positions 23 to 2567 of the family's 2925-position model. The record is from RNAcentral. Lineage: Eukaryota; Metazoa; Chordata; Amphibia; Anura; Bufonidae.
GCUAUAAACCUAGCCCAACUCAACACUAAUUUUACAAAACUAAUUUACUCCCAUUAACAAACCAUUUUAACAUUAUAGUAAAGGUGAUUGAAAAAUUCAUUGGAGCUACAACAACAGUACCGCAAGGGAACAGUGAAAUACCAAUUAAAGCUUUAAGCAAAAAAAAGUAAAGCCUACCACUUGUACCUUUUGCAUCAUGGUUUAACUAGUUUAAUCAAGCAAAAUGGUUUUAAGUUUGACUCCCCGAAACUAAGUGAGCUACUUCAGGGCAGCCAAAAGAGCAAACCCGUCUCUGUAGCAAAAGAGUGGGACGACCCUCAAGUAGCGGUGAUAGACCUAACGAACUUAGUGAUAGCUGGUUACUCAAGAAACGGAUCUAAGUCCAACCUGAAACCAACCCAAGUCUACCAACACAACUAUAACUUUUCAGCGUAAUUCAAAUAAGGUACAGCCUAUUUGAAACAGGAUACAACCUAAGCCAAUGGAUAAGAUUAGCCUCAUAAACAACCAAGUGGGCCUAAAAGCAGCCACCUUUUAAAUUGCGUCAAAGCUUAAUUGUUAUCACGCCUAAUCACUACACUUUUAUCUUAAUCCACUACCAAUACUGAGUAAUUCUAUAACACUAUAGAAAAUUUUAUGUUAAAACUAGUAACAAGAAGAAGAACCUUCUCUUUAAUGUAAGUGUAAAUCAAAAUGGACAAGCCAUUGAUACUUAUCACCCAUGAACCUAAAGUAGUAACAAACCAAGAAAAAUCUACUUUUACCAAUGUUAAUCUAACACAAGAACAUUACAAGAAAGAUUUAAAAAAUAAGAAGGAACUCGGCAAAUCUUAGCCUCGCCUGUUUACCAAAAACAUCGCCUCUUGCAACAUUAUAAAAAUAAGAGGUCCAGCCUGCCCAGUGACUCUGUUCAACGGCCGCGGUAUCCUAACCGUGCGAAGGUAGCGUAAUCACUUGUUCUUUAAAUAAGGACUAGUAUGAAUGGCAUCACGAAGGCUAUACUGUCUCCUUUUUUUGAUCAGUGAAACUAAUCUUCCCGUGAAGAAGCGGGAAUAAACAUAUAAGACGAGAAGACCCUAUGGAGCUUUAAACAACAUAGCACUUACCACAUACACAAAAAUUCAUGAAUUACAAAACUCACCAAGUAAAAUGUCUAUAAGUUUUUGGUUGGGGUGACCACGGAGCACAACACAACCUCCAUGUUGAAAGAACACUAUUCUUAACAAAGAACUACUUUUCUAAGUAUCAACAUUUUGACAUCCAUUGACCCAAUUAUUUUGAGCAACGAACCAAGUUACCCUAGGGAUAACAGCGCAAUCCACUUUAAGAGCCCCUAUCGACAAGUGGGUUUACGACCUCGAUGUUGGAUCAGGGUUUCCAAGUGGUGCAGCCGCUACUA